GACGAACGCUGGCGGCGUGCUUAACACAUGCAAGUCGAACGGUAAGGCCCUUCGGGGUACACGAGUGGCGAACGGGUGAGUAACACGUGGGUGAUCUGCCCUGCACUUCGGGAUAAGCCUGGCAAACUGGGUCUAAUACCGGGUAGGACUCCUGGCUUCAUGGUUGGGGGUGGAAAGCGUUUGUGGUGUGGGGUGGGCCCGCGGCCUAUCAGCUUGUUGGUGGGGUAAUGGCCUACCAAGGGGACGACGGGUAGCCGGCCUGAGAGGGUGACCGGUCACACUGGGACUGAGAUACGGCCCAGACUCCUACGGGAGGCAGCAGUGGGGAAUAUUGCACAAUGGGCGCAAGCCUGAUGCAGCGACGCCGCGUGAGGGAUGACGGCCUUCGGGUUGUAAACCUCUUUCAGCUAUGACGAAGCGCAAGUGACGGUAGUAGCAGAAGAAGGACCGGCCAACUACGUGCCAGCCGCCGCGGUAAA
Molecule: ribosomal RNA, 479 nt
Filed under: uncultured bacterium
Lineage: Bacteria
Description: partial 16S ribosomal RNA
Rfam family: Bacterial small subunit ribosomal RNA
Source: RNAcentral